UAGGGUCGAAAUGUCAAGGGGCGAUUCGUGCUUGCACGGAAUCGACCUUGAUAUUGAGACCCGCCAAACAUGAGGAUGCAGCACAACGUGCGGAAUCCGAAUGUUUGUAGAAUUGUGGGAGCUGCGAUAGCAGCGGAGCAAUUCGUA
RNAcentral lists this small RNA (147 nucleotides) under uncultured Eubacterium sp. Its description in RNAcentral is "Clostridiales-1 RNA". It matches the Rfam family "Clostridiales-1 RNA". Lineage: Bacteria; Bacillati; Bacillota; Clostridia; Eubacteriales; Eubacteriaceae. The record is from RNAcentral.